AUACGUAGGUGGCAAGCGUUGUCCGGAAUUAUUGGGCGUAAAGCGCAUGUAGGCGGUUUGGUAAGUCGGUCGUGAAAAUGCGGUGCUUAACGCCGUAUGGCGAUUGAAACUGCUGAACUUGAGUGCAGGAGAGGAAAGGGGAACUCCCAGUGUAGCGGUGAAAUGCGUAGAUAUUGGGAAGAACACCGGUGGCGAAGGAGCGUUUCGGGACUGUGACUGACGCUUAGAUGCGAAAGCCAGGGGAGCGAACGGGAUUAGAUACCCCGGUAGUCCUGGCCGUAAACGAUGGGUACUAGGUGUGGGAGGUAUCGACUCCUUCCGUGCCGGAGUUAACGCAAUAAGUACCCCGCCUGGGGAGUACGGCCGCAAGGCUUAAACUUAAAGGAAUUGACGGGG
RNAcentral lists this ribosomal RNA (396 nucleotides) under uncultured bacterium. RNAcentral's name for it is "partial 16S ribosomal RNA". It matches the Rfam family "Bacterial small subunit ribosomal RNA", at positions 523 to 918 of the family's 1533-position model. The record is from RNAcentral.